Molecule: transfer RNA, 72 nt
Filed under: Sphaerodactylus townsendi
Lineage: Eukaryota; Metazoa; Chordata; Lepidosauria; Squamata; Sphaerodactylidae
Description: tRNA-Val
Rfam family: tRNA (bases 7-65)
About the family: Transfer RNA (tRNA) molecules are approximately 80 nucleotides in length.
Source: RNAcentral
GAAUCCAUGGCUCAGUUGCAGAACAUCUGUUUGACAUGCAGAAGGUCCCAAGUUCAAUUCCUGGUAUCUCCA